RNAcentral lists this ribosomal RNA (374 nucleotides) under uncultured bacterium. Its description in RNAcentral is "partial 16S ribosomal RNA". It matches the Rfam family "Bacterial small subunit ribosomal RNA", at positions 338 to 729 of the family's 1533-position model. The record is from RNAcentral.
CCUACGGGUGACAGCAGUGGGGAAUAUUGCACAAUGGGGGAAACCCUGAUGCAGCGACGCCGCGUGAGUGAAGAAGUAUUUCUGUAUGGAAAGCUCUAUCAGCAGGGGAGAAAAUGACGGUACCUGAUUAAGAAGCCCCGUCUAACUACGUUCCAGCAGCCGCGGUAAUACGUAGGGGGCAAGCGUUAUCCGGAGUUACUGGGUGUAAAGGGAGCGUAGACGGCAGCACAAGUCUGGAGUGAAAUGCCGGGGCUUAACCCCGGAACUGCCUUGGAAACUGUGCAGCUAGAGUGCAGGAGGGGUAAGUGGAAUGCAUAGUGUAGCGGUGAAAUGCGUAGAGAUUAGGAGGAACACCAAUGGCGAAGGCAGCUUAC